AAAUUGAAGAGUUUGAUCAUGGCUCAGAUUGAACGCUGGCGGCAGGCCUAACACAUGCAAGUCGAGCGGAAACGAGUUAUCAGAACCUUCGGGGAACGAUAACGGCGUCGAGCGGCGGACGGGUGAGUAAUGCCUAGGAAAUUGCCCUGAUGUGGGGGAUAACCAUUGGAAACGAUGGCUAAUACCGCAUGAUGCCUACGGGCCAAAGAGGGGGACCUUCGGGCCUCUCGCGUCAGGAUAUGCCUAGGUGGGAUUAGCUAGUUGGUGAGGUAAGGGCUCACCAAGGCGACGAUCCCUAGCUGGUCUGAGAGGAUGAUCAGCCACACUGGAACUGAGACACGGUCCAGACUCCUACGGGAGGCAGCAGUGGGGAAUAUUGCACAAUGGGCGCAAGCCUGAUGCAGCCAUGCCGCGUGUGUGAAGAAGGCCUUCGGGUUGUAAAGCACUUUCAGUUGUGAGGAAGGUAGUGUAGUUAAUAGCUGCAUUAUUUGACGUUAGCGACAGAAGAAGCACCGGCUAACUCCGUGCCAGCAGCCGCGGUAAUACGGAGGGUGCGAGCGUUAAUCGGAAUUACUGGGCG
Molecule: ribosomal RNA, 580 nt
Filed under: Vibrio parahaemolyticus
Lineage: Bacteria; Pseudomonadati; Pseudomonadota; Gammaproteobacteria; Vibrionales; Vibrionaceae
Description: bacterial SSU rRNA
Rfam family: Bacterial small subunit ribosomal RNA
Source: RNAcentral